UGCACAUUGUUGAUCUCCCACCGACUUAGUUGUUUUCAACACCAGAGAGUCCUCGAGAAAAAUAGCAAAACCCAUCUUCUUCUUCUCAAAGCAGAACCCAUCUUCUUCUCUUUAAGAAUAAAGCCCAUCAUUCUUCUUGAAACCCAUCUUCUUCUUAAAACCCAUCUUCUGAAAACACUCUAUUAGGGUUCUAUAUACUCAAUUAGGGUUUUCAAUUUGGGGAUUUGAAGGAAGAGGAAGGAGGGGGGGUGGUUUCUCGGGUUUCUUCAAUCAUUGAAACCCUAACUCGCUCUCUCUAACUCAUUUGCGACCCCUCAUACUCCAAUGCACUUUGAAGCUUGUCUCUGACCUGGUGUCGCGACAGCCCACCUCUCCGGCCUCGUCUUCGCCUCCGUUCACUCUGAUUCAGUGAGUGAGCUUUCAAAGAUCGAUUCAGACUCUCUACUAUCUCUAUUGAUAAAGGCGAAGGUACUACAAUCUUGGCAAACUCACUAAUUAAUCGACUUCGAUUUCGUUUCUAGUUUCUCAGUUUUCAAUUCUCGUUCUCCGAGCGGCGAAGAGAAGCGGCUUCUUGGGCUAUGGAGCCUCGAGUAGGGGGACGAUUCUGAGUCGGCGGAAAGAACAGUAGUGGAUCCUUUGGAGAGAUCUACUUAGCCUUCAAAGCUCUGGGAAAGCUGAUCCUUGAAGUUGGGUUUUUGGUGGCAUUUCACUGUGAUAGAUAUGACAACAUUGGAAGACAGAAUGCUUUGGAACAAUAUGUGUAUCGGCCUUUGAUGUUCAAGUAGAUAGGGCAUAUAUGUAUUAGAAUGCUUUUCUCGUUUUAAUCUUGAAUGAUUGGGAAAUGCUCCAUUUUAACAUUUGAGGCAUAUGGAAUUGAUUGGAUUACUCAUUUGAUGGCU
Rosa rugosa (rugosa rose) is the source of this 899-nucleotide long non-coding RNA. RefSeq lists it as uncharacterized. The record is from RefSeq and is a predicted model, not a curated record. Lineage: Eukaryota; Viridiplantae; Streptophyta; Magnoliopsida; Rosales; Rosaceae. The transcript is spliced from 3 exons.